AGUGAACGCUGGCGGUAGGCCUAACACAUGCAAGUCGAACGGCAGCACAGUAAGAGCUUGCUCUUACGGGUGGCGAGUGGCGGACGGGUGAGGAAUACAUCGGAAUCUACUUUUUCGUGGGGGAUAACGUAGGAAAACUUACGCUAAUACCGCAUACGACCUACGGGUGAAAGCAGGGGAUCUUCGGACCUUGCGCGAUUGAAUGAGCCGAUGUCGGAUUAGCUAGUUGGCGGGGUAAAGGCCCACCAAGGCGACGAUCCGUAGCUGGUCUGAGAGGAUGAUCAGCCACACUGGAACUGAGACACGGUCCAGACUCCUACGGGAGGCAGCAGUGGGGAAUAUUGGACAAUGGGCGAAAGCCUGAUCCAGCCAUACCGCGUGGGUGAAGAAGGCCUUCGGGUUGUAAAGCCCUUUUGUUGGGAAAGAAAAGCAGCAGGUUAAUACCCCGCUGUUCUGACGGUACCCAAAGAAUAAGCACCGGCUAACUUCGUG
Molecule: ribosomal RNA, 492 nt
Filed under: uncultured bacterium
Lineage: Bacteria
Description: partial 16S ribosomal RNA
Rfam family: Bacterial small subunit ribosomal RNA
Source: RNAcentral